GAUCCUGGCUCAGGAUGAACGCUAGCUACAGGCUUAACACAUGCAAGUCGAGGGGAAACGAUAUUGGAAGCUUGCUUCCGAUAGGCGUCGACCGGCGCACGGGUGAGUAACGCGUAUCCAACCUGCCCACCACUUGGGGAUAACCUUGCGAAGGUAAGACUAAUACCCAAUGAUAUCUCUAGAAGACAUCUGAAUGGGAUUAAAGAUUUAUCGGUGAUGGAUGGGGAUGCGUCUGAUUAG
RNAcentral lists this ribosomal RNA (240 nucleotides) under uncultured bacterium. Its description in RNAcentral is "partial 16S ribosomal RNA". It matches the Rfam family "Bacterial small subunit ribosomal RNA", at positions 15 to 244 of the family's 1533-position model. The record is from RNAcentral.